RNAcentral lists this transfer RNA (85 nucleotides) under Felis catus (domestic cat). It matches the Rfam family "tRNA". From Rfam's summary of the family: Transfer RNA (tRNA) molecules are approximately 80 nucleotides in length. Their secondary structure includes four short double-helical elements and three loops (D, anti-codon, and T loops). The record is from Rfam by way of RNAcentral. Lineage: Eukaryota; Metazoa; Chordata; Mammalia; Carnivora; Felidae.
GCCUGAGUGGCUCAGUCAGUUAAGCAUCCAACUUGGACUUAGCUCAUGAUCUCACAGUUUGUGGGUUCGAGCCCCACAUCGGGCU